Molecule: ribosomal RNA, 1321 nt
Filed under: Chalinga pratti
Lineage: Eukaryota; Metazoa; Arthropoda; Insecta; Lepidoptera; Nymphalidae
Description: 16S ribosomal RNA
Source: RNAcentral
GGGGGAAAAAUUAAUAAAAAAUAAUUAAUAAAAGAAUUUUUAAUAUUGGGGGAUAUUAAAGUAUUUUUUUUAAAAAAAAUAUUAAUUUUUAUAGUAAAGUAGUAUUGUAAAAUAAAUUUGAAAUAAUUGAAAAUAAAUUAGAAAUAAAGUAAUUUUAAUUUAAUGUAUCUUGAGUAUCAGAGUUUAUUAAAAAAUGUUUUUUAACAAAAAAAAUCUCGAAUUUAAAAGAGUUAAUUAAUUAAAAAAAUUAAUGUUGAAUAAUUAUUUUAAAUAAUUAAUUAGAAAUGAAAUGUUAAUCGUUUUUAAAUAUAUCUAGUUUUUUUAGAAAAAAAUUAAAUUUAAAAUUUAAAAAAUUUUAUUAAAAAAUAUUUUUUAAUAAAAUAUUUAAAAUUUAAUAUAUUAAGGGAUAAGCUUUAAUAUAAAUAUUUAUAAUUAAUUAGUUUAUAAAAAUAAAAAUUUUAAAAUUUAUAUUGUUUAAAAAUUAAAAUUUUUUAUAAAAAAUUUUAAUUAAAAUAAAAUUUAAUAUAAUUUAAUUUUUUAUAAAAAAAUAAUUUUUAAUACAAAAAAAUUAGAAAUAAUGAUAAAAUUAGUAUAUUUAAAUUAAAAAUAAUAAGAUAAAUUUAAUUUAAAUUAAAGGAAUUUGGCAAAUAUUUAUAUUCACUUGUUUAUCAAAAACAUGUCUUUUAGAAAAUAAUUUAAAGUCUAAUCUGCCCACUGAUAAAUUAUUAAAGGGCUGCAGUAUAUUGACUGUACAAAGGUAGCAUAAUAAAUAGUCUUUUAAUUGAAGACUUGUAUGAAAGAUUUAAUGAAAUAUAAACUGUCUCUGAUUUAAUAAUAGAAAUUAAUUUUUUAGUUAAAAAGCUAAAAUUUUUUUAAAAGACGAGAAGACCCUAUAGAGUUUUAUUUUACUAUUAUUUAAGAUUAUAUUUAUAAUUAAAAAUUAAAAUUAAUAUUAAAAUUUUAUUGGGGUGAUAAAAAAAUUAAAAUAACUUUUUUUAAAUUUAUUAACAUAAAUAAAUGAAAAUUUGAUCCAUAAAUUAUGAUUAAAAGAAAAAAUUACCUUAGGGAUAACAGCGUAAUUUUUUUUUUUAGUACAAAUAAAAAAAAAAGAUUGCGACCUCGAUGUUGGAUUAAGAUAAAAUUUAAAUGCAAAAGUUUAAAAGUUUUGAUCUGUUCGAUCAUUAAAAUCUUACAUGAUCUGAGUUCAAACCGGUGUAAGCCAGGUUGGUUUCUAUCUUUAAAAUAAAAAAAUAUUUUAGUACGAAAGGAUCAAAUAUUAUUAAUAAUUAAAUUAGUUAGAAUAUUAAUAAAUUUUAUAUAA